AUUGAACGCUGGCGGCAUGCCUUACACAUGCAAGUCGAACGGUAACGCGGGGCAACCUGGCGACGAGUGGCGAACGGGUGAGUAAUGCAUCGGAACGUGCCCAGAAGUGGGGGAUAGCCCGGCGAAAGCCGGAUUAAUACCGCAUGAGACCUGAAGGUGAAAGCGGGGGAUCGCAAGACCUCGCGCUUUUGGAGCGGCCGAUGUCAGAUUAGCUAGUUGGUGGGGUAAAGGCCUACCAAGGCGACGAUCUGUAGCUGGUCUGAGAGGACGACCAGCCACACUGGGACUGAGACACGGCCCAGACUCCUACGGGAGGCAGCAGUGGGGAAUUUUGGACAAUGGGCGCAAGCCUGAUCCAGCCAUGCCGCGUGCGGGAAGAGGGCCUUCGGGUUGUAAACCGCUUUUGUCAGGGAAGAAACGCUCUGGGCUAAUACCCUGGGGUAAUGACGGUACCUGAAGAAUAAGCACCGGCUAACUACGUG
This 482-nucleotide ribosomal RNA is filed under the name uncultured bacterium. RNAcentral describes it as "partial 16S ribosomal RNA". It matches the Rfam family "Bacterial small subunit ribosomal RNA", at positions 29 to 507 of the family's 1533-position model. The record is from RNAcentral.